This 73-nucleotide transfer RNA is filed under the name Helianthus annuus (common sunflower). It matches the Rfam family "tRNA". From Rfam's summary of the family: Transfer RNA (tRNA) molecules are approximately 80 nucleotides in length. Their secondary structure includes four short double-helical elements and three loops (D, anti-codon, and T loops). Lineage: Eukaryota; Viridiplantae; Streptophyta; Magnoliopsida; Asterales; Asteraceae. The record is from Rfam by way of RNAcentral.
GUUUCUGUGGUGUAGUGGUUAUCACGUUUGCUUUACACGCAAAAGGUCUCCGGUUCAAUCCCGGGCAGAAACA